RNAcentral lists this ribosomal RNA (328 nucleotides) under uncultured Campylobacter sp. RNAcentral describes it as "bacterial SSU rRNA". It matches the Rfam family "Bacterial small subunit ribosomal RNA", at positions 1200 to 1531 of the family's 1533-position model. The record is from RNAcentral. Lineage: Bacteria; Pseudomonadati; Campylobacterota; Epsilonproteobacteria; Campylobacterales; Campylobacteraceae.
CCUUAGUCCGGGGCGAACACGUGCUCGUGGCUGUAUACAUAAGACCGCAAUUAUCCCGCGGAGGAUGGAGCAAAUCUAUAAAAUACGUCCCAGUUCGGAUUGGAGUCUGCAACUCGACUCCAUGAAGCCGGAAUCGCUAGUAAUCGUAAAUCAGCCAUGCUACGGUGAAUACGUUCCCGGGUCUUGUACUCACCGCCCGUCACACCAUGGGAGUUGAUUUCACUCGAAGCCCAAAUACCAAACCGGUUAUGGUCCACAGUGGAAUCAGCGACUGGGGUGAAGUCGUAACAAGGUAACCGUAGGAGAACCUGCGGUUGGAUCACCUCCU